GGGGGCGACAGGUUUCGACAGGGAAGAAGGGGGCAGAGAGGCAUGCCGGGUUUCUGCCUUCCCGUAUUUAGGCAGAGAUAAACAUAACCGCAGACUCUUACGAGUAUGCGAUGGCCGCUUAAUGCGGCCACAUCACCUGGACUUUCCUCCUGCUUUAAGUCCAGAGUGGUGUAAACCAAGCAGGAUAGCCAGUCCAGACGCCUAUACGGACUGGCGAAAAAAGAUAGGCUUUGGAAGGGAAAAACCUGUCAGUGGGUGUUUCCCUAUCCGAGACUAAAACACUGACUAAGCAUGUAGUCUCUUAUGUCUCCUCUUUUCUGGACGCGGGUUCGAUUCCCGCCGCCUCCACCA
Molecule: transfer-messenger RNA, 351 nt
Filed under: Deltaproteobacteria bacterium
Lineage: Bacteria; Pseudomonadati; Myxococcota; Myxococcia
Also listed under: 2 other names
Rfam family: transfer-messenger RNA
About the family: Bacterial tmRNA, also known as 10Sa RNA or SsrA, is named for its dual tRNA and mRNA-like properties. Its role is to liberate the mRNA from a stalled ribosome.
Source: RNAcentral